UGGAUAAAAUAGAAAUGGCAUAUGGAAAGGCAAAUCUUUACAUUGUCGGCUGCAUGUAUCUCUAUAAGUGAUACUUUGGAUUUCCAAUCAGCAGAUCAAUGGAUUCCAUCAAGGUGUCCAAAUGAAUGGCACACAAUGCAUAUAGUAGCUAGCUAGCUAUACUUUUGCUGAUGAAAAUGUGGAGGAGGCCGGUGCAUGAAGCUGCCCAGAGGUGUCCAUCUAUAAGGCUAGCUAGGCUUGCUCAUAUGAAGCACCAUGAGAUCUUGGAGGUGAUUUGAUCACUCAAGCUAGCUAGCUUUGGCCUGUUGCUGUGUCUGCAUGCGUGGUGCAUGUUAUCCUGUUAAUAUGUGUGUGUGACCACAGGAGCAAUGAGGUGACACCACUAGGGCCGUGUUCGCCCGAGGCGGUAAGAUAACUUAGCCCCCUCGUUUUCUGCACGAAUGUUUUCUGAAUUGCUAAACGGUGUAUUUUAUGUAAAAAAAUUUAUAGAAAAGUUGUUUUAAAAAAUCAUAUUAAUCUAUUUUAUAUUUUUAAUAAUUAAUAAUUAAUUAAUCAUGUAUUAAUCUAUUACUACGUUUUCUGCGUGGGUAAGUUAAUUUAUCACCCCUUACCCGAACGCUGGCCUAGGUAGAUAAGCUACCCAAGCAUCAAUGUUCAUUGAUGCAUAGCUGCUUCUUUCUUAGUACCCAAGGCAUAAUUGCACCACAAGCUAGCUAGUAAGGAACCCUAGCUUAUUGGCUUAGUUUGUGGCUGUGGUAGUAGUAGUGUUGGUGCUGUGCAAGCUCCUAAGGGACAUGACAACUGCAUGCAUGCAUGGACCUACCACACCCAAAUGAAACCUGCAAGUUGCUUACCAUGCAGGGAUUAUACAUUUGUGGUGCAUAGCUUUGUUACAUAGAUUUUUUUUGUCCCCAUGUGCAGUAUUUUCCGGGCAUCGAAUAAACCGACAAGUUGUGGAUCGACCGAUUGAUAAUUCUUCUUAAAAAUAAAAUGAAGAAAAAUAAAAUCUUCGAGACAGUUUCCAAACCCUGUUGAUCAUGGAUGAGAAUGUGCUAGCUGAAUAAUUCCUUUUGAUCCAGACCCUCACAUAUCUGAUAUCUCUGGUCACCAACUUGGCUGCUUGUGGGCAAUACAUAUUUGUGGCUGGGGUCAAGGUGCAUUGCCCAGUUGCAUUGCAAGCAAGCUGAGGGGUGAAAAAGAUCUAAGCUACAUUAUGCAAAUGUGCAUGGGUUGUUGUAGGGUAUCAACCACAUGGCAAAAGGAGAAUCUCCUCCCCUUCUCCUACCAAAGAUUCAAGAUAGAGAGGGGUAAAAAGGAAGUGUACAUGUGGUUGUGCGCCUUUGGGGAAGUGAAGCUAAGUGGCAUGGCAUAUUGGGUUGCAUAUGCAUGAAUGCACCCUGCUAGUAGUGGCCUCCUGUGUGCUCUGUGCAUGCAACCCAUUUUCAUGUCCUCCUAUCCUGGUUUCUGGUUUUGCACCUAACAUGUAUUCCUCCUUCUAAAGUUUGAAAGGAGCAUGAAUAUGGUGGGUUACAGCAAUAGCCUGCAGCUUGGAGUUGAACAUUCUCGCUUCUGCUUCGUCGAUGCCCCGCUUUCGCGGUUGCUUCCCUCUAUUUAAGGAUAUAUAUUUUUCUUGUUUCUCUAUACCUUUUAUAAUAUGAUUUUAAAACCACAUGUUUGGGAUAUGAAUCUUUUAGACGCAUCAUUUUCAUAGCAGGACAACGAUACCACGCUACUACAAAAGGUGUUAUAGUAUUUAUUCGAUAUAUUAUAAAUACAUCUAAUUUGUUGAAACUAAUGGUACAACUAACUAGAAGAGAUUUUGCCACCUGUAUGUACAACUCGACAUGUCAAAUAUAUUAACACAAAUUGCACUAGAUAUUGUGCCCCAGUACGUACAUAAAACAUAAAGUCCUUUAUGGCAAAACAUCACAGAAAUGCUGGGCUUCCUUUACGAGGUAAAAAGCUUGAGACUGGAACAGUACGUGCCAGGGCUGACAGGACGUCUUAACUAUUUUCCAACUUGUUAUGUUCCAUAUUGAGAACCCUACCUAUAUGCACUGGUUGAAAACCUUCCAAAGUUCCAUAGUUUCUUUUUCUUUUUUUUUGUCAUGUGAAUAAAAAAGGUGUGCAACCAAAUAUAAUAAUAAUAAUUAAAAAAAAGGCUUGACUACGAAUAAUAAAAUUAAUUAAAGCACCUGUGAUGGAGACCAAGAGCAUGACUGGGGUAUAUGCCAAACCAUCUUGUAUGUUAAGCUUCUUGGUUCCAUAUUCUUUUAAAAUUGGGGACACAAAUGAGCCGCUCGUUUUCGGCAUAUCUUAGGCUUUGCAUAUCUUCAAGUAGACAAUAUAAUGUACUAUCCAUAAAGCAAAAUUUGGAUCAUUACAGGCUCUUCUCUCAUUUGCAUGGACCAUCCAUCUUAUCUAUUUAGUGUGUGGGGGUGUGCUUCUUUCUUGCUUGCUUUCUCUAGGGCCAGUGUACAAUUUUCAUGAACCAUUUCCAUUGUUAGGUUCCUGUCAGAACCUUACAUGGUGCAGAGCAAGAAAAGCAUGAAAGGAGAAGGAAAAAUGCAGGGCUGUUUUCUUCCUCUUUGGUUCUGAGCUAUCCAAACAUAUUAGCACGUUUUAAGGUAAUAAAAUGGCAGUGGCAAGUAUCUGCUUGUGAAAGGAACCCAUUUACAAUUGCAUGUCAUGAAUUAAAUGAUGAAAUGAGAAUCUUCACCAUGACUUUAACCUGUAAUCAAAGGAUUUAUCAUCCAAAAAGCUUGAGCUCAAAUCAGAACUUCUACACAUUAAUUUCAGGUUUUACCUACUUCUUGAGCUGUAACAGGUGCAAAAAUGUGUGGCUGUUACUUGUCUGGUUCAGAUUUUAUCCUGUGAUAUCUUGGUUGUAGACUGAGUACACAUAUUCUACCCUACCAAUCUCUCCUCUCACUCCACUCCCAAUACCAAACAGCGCAGAUCUUUUUCCUGGUUGGUGAGGCUGUGGGGCAGUGAUUGUUUCACUGUGACCAAACCCUAGCCUUGUGGUCACAUGGGAAGCACUAUGAGC
RNAcentral lists this long non-coding RNA (3049 nucleotides) under Oryza brachyantha (malo sina). Its description in RNAcentral is "long non-coding RNA (OBRA_LNC000349)". Lineage: Eukaryota; Viridiplantae; Streptophyta; Magnoliopsida; Poales; Poaceae. The record is from RNAcentral.